GGAGGGGUUCCCGAGCGGUCAAAGGGAGCAGACUGUAAAUCUGCCGGCGAACGCCUUCGGAGGUUCGAAUCCUCCCCCCUCCACCA
Molecule: transfer RNA, 86 nt
Filed under: Deltaproteobacteria bacterium
Lineage: Bacteria; Pseudomonadati; Myxococcota; Myxococcia
Description: tRNA-Tyr
Rfam family: tRNA
About the family: Transfer RNA (tRNA) molecules are approximately 80 nucleotides in length. Their secondary structure includes four short double-helical elements and three loops (D, anti-codon, and T loops).
Source: RNAcentral